AGUUUGAUCCUGGCUCAGGAUGAACGCUGGCGGCGUGCCUAAUGCAUGCUAGUCGAGCGAGAAAAAUUCUUCGGAGUUUUUCUAGCGGCGGACAGGUGAGUAACACGUGGGCAACCUGCCUCAUAGAGGGGAAUAGCCUUCCGAAAGGAAGAUUAAUACCGCGUAAUAUUGUUGAAAGGCAUCUUUUAACAAUCAAAGGAGCAAUCCGCUAUGAGAUGGGCCCGCGGCGCAUUAGCUAGUUGGUGAGGUAACGGCUCACCAAGUGCGACGAUGCGUAGCCGACCUGAGAGGGUGAUCGGCCACAUUGGAACUGAGACACGGUCCAGACUCCUACGGGAGGCAGCAGUGGGGAAUAUUGCACAAUGGCGGGAAACCCUGAUGCAGCAACGCCGCGUGAGUGAUGAAGGUCUUCGGAUUGUAAAGCUCUGUCUUUAGGGACGAUAAUGACGGUACCUAAGGAGGAAGCCACGGCUAACUACGUGCCAGCAGCCGCGGUAAUACGUAGGUGGCAAGCGUUAUCCGGAUUUACUGGGCGUAAAGGGAGUGUAGGCGGAUAUUUAAGUGGGAUGUGAAAUACCCGAGCUUAACUUGGGAGCUGCAUUCCAAACUGGAUAUCUAGAGUGCAGGAGAGGAGAAUGGAAUUCCUAGUGUAGCGGUGAAAUGCGUAGAGAUUAGGAAGAACACCAGUGGCGAAGGCGAUUCUCUGGACUGUAACUGACGCUGAGGCUCGAAAGCGUGGGGAGCAAACAGGAUUAGAUACCCUGGUAGUCCACCCCGUAAACGAUGAUUCUAGGUGUAGG
This 800-nucleotide ribosomal RNA is filed under the name uncultured bacterium. RNAcentral describes it as "bacterial SSU rRNA". It matches the Rfam family "Bacterial small subunit ribosomal RNA", at positions 10 to 826 of the family's 1533-position model. The record is from RNAcentral.